This 485-nucleotide ribosomal RNA is filed under the name uncultured bacterium. Its description in RNAcentral is "partial 16S ribosomal RNA". It matches the Rfam family "Bacterial small subunit ribosomal RNA", at positions 28 to 523 of the family's 1533-position model. The record is from RNAcentral.
GACGAACGCUGGCGGCGUGCUUAACACAUGCAAGUCGAACGGUGAAAGCGGAGCUUGCUCCGCUGGAUCAGUGGCGAACGGGUGAGUAACACGUGGGCAACCUGCCCUUCACUUCGGGAUAACUCCGGGAAACCGGGGCUAAUACCGGAUAUGACCUCUGCGGGCAUCCGCGGAGGUGGAAAGUUGUUCGGUGAAGGAUGGGCCCGCGGCCUAUCAGCUUGUUGGUGAGGUAGUGGCUCACCAAGGCGACGACGGGUAGCCGGCGUGAGAGGGGGACCGGCCACACUGGGACGGAGACACGGCCCAGACUCCUACGGGAGGCAGCAGUGGGGAAUAUUGCGCGAUGGGCGAAAGCCUGACGCAGCGACGCCGCGUGCGGGAUGACGGCCUUCGGGUUGUAAACCGCUUUCAGCAGGGAAGAAGCCGCAAGGUGACGGUACCUGCAGAAGAAGCACCGGCUAACUACGUGCCAGCCGCCGCCGUAA